AAAAAGAGAAUUUCUCUCUUGUUUUAUUAUACAGUUUUAUUUUAUAUGUAAAUUUUUGUGUGAAAAGUAAAUAGUUUUUGAUAAGAAUUUUAUUUUAAAUUGCAGUGGAGAUUAUUAUUUAAAUAUAAGAAAUUAUGAAAUAGUAAAUAUUAUAUAUUACAGACAAAAUUUGUGCCAGCAGUCGCGGUUACACAGAUUGUAUAAUAAUAAAGUUUUAAUAGUAGUUAAUAUGUAAAAUGUGGAUAGUUAAAAGGAUUUUAUUAAGUGAAAUUUUAAAAUUUAAAUAAAUUUAUAUUUAUGAGGCUAGGAAAAUUUUUAAUUAGACUAGGAUUAGAUACCCUAUUAUUUAAAUAGUAAAUUUUUAUAUUAAAUUAGUAUCGGAUAUAUUUGUGAAACCAAGGAAAGUUGGCGGUGUUUUAGUCUAUUCAGAGGAACCUGUCCUGUAAUUGAUAUUCCACGAGUUUAAUUACUUACUUUAGUAAUUUAUAUAUCGUUGUAGAUUGAGUAUUUUUGAAGAAAGUUAAUAUUCAAGAUUUUUAUUUAGAAAGGAGUCCAGAUCAAGGUAUAGUUUAUAGGUAAGGAGAGAUGGGUUACAAUGAAAAUAUUUUUAUGGAUAAAUUUUUGUAAUAGAAUUUUAAAAGUGGAUUUGACAGUAAUUUUAUAGAAAUAUAUAAAAUGAUUUUAUAGCUCUAAAAUAUGCACAUAUCGCCCGUCGCUUUCAUUUAAAGUGAAAUAAGUCGUAACAAAGUAGGCGUACUGGAAGGUGCAUCUAGAAGCCA
RNAcentral lists this non-coding RNA (779 nucleotides) under Curculionoidea sp. 4 KM-2017. The record is from RNAcentral. Lineage: Eukaryota; Metazoa; Arthropoda; Insecta; Coleoptera.